This 459-nucleotide ribosomal RNA is filed under the name uncultured bacterium. Its description in RNAcentral is "bacterial SSU rRNA". It matches the Rfam family "Bacterial small subunit ribosomal RNA", at positions 340 to 789 of the family's 1533-position model. The record is from RNAcentral.
UACGGAAGGCAGCAGUGGGGAAUAUUGCACAAUGGGCGAAAGCCUGAUGCAGCUAUGCCGCGUGUAUGAAGAAGGCCUUAGGGUUGUAAAGUACUUUCAUCGGGGAGGAAAAAACAAAACUAAUAAUUUUAUUUCUUGACGUUACCCGAAAAAGAAGCACCGGCUAACUCCGUGCCAGCAGCCGCGGUAAUACGGAGGGUGCUAGCGUUAAUCAGAAUUACUGGGCGUAAAGAGCACGUAGGUGGUUUUUUUAAAGUCAGAUGUGAAUCCCUGGGCUUAACCUAGGAACUGCAUUUUGAAACUGAAAUACUAGAGUAUCGUAGAGGGAGGUAGAAUUCUAGGUGUAGCGGUGAAAUGCGUAGAUAUCUGGAGGAAUACCUGUGGCGAAAGCGGCCUCCUAAACGAAUACUGACACUGAGGUGCGAAAGCGUGGGGAGCAAACAGGGAUUAGAUACCCGU